GGGCUGCAGUAUUUUGACUGUACAAAGGUAGCAUAAUCAAUAGUCUCUUAAUUGGUGACUUGUAUGAAAGAUUGGAUGAAAUAUAUACUGUCUCUGGUUAAUUUAUAGAAAUUAAUUUUUUAGUAAAAAAGCUAAAAUAAUUUUAAAAGACGAGAAGACCCUAUAGAGUUUAAUAAUUUAUUUAAUUAUUAUUAAUAUAUAAUUUUUAAAAUUAAAAUUAAAUAAAUUAUUUUGUUGGGGUGACAGAAAAAUUAAAUUAACUUUUUUUAAUUAUUUACAUUAAUUUAUGGUUAAAUGAUCCAUUUAUAAUGAUUAAAAGAAAAAAUUACCUUAGGGAUAACAGCGUAAUUUUUUUUUUUAGUUCAAAUAGGAAAAAAAGUUUGCGACCUCGAUGUUGGAUUAA
Molecule: ribosomal RNA, 403 nt
Filed under: Papilio bootes janaka
Lineage: Eukaryota; Metazoa; Arthropoda; Insecta; Lepidoptera; Papilionidae
Description: partial 16S ribosomal RNA
Source: RNAcentral